Long non-coding RNA from Humulus lupulus (European hop), 1043 nucleotides. RefSeq lists it as uncharacterized. The transcript is spliced from 2 exons. NCBI's taxonomy places the organism in Eukaryota, Viridiplantae, Streptophyta, Magnoliopsida, Rosales, Cannabaceae. The record is from RefSeq and is a predicted model, not a curated record.
UAUAAAUAAAAAUUAAGGUUUAUAUUUUUUUGGAUAUUAUAUUUUGACAAAUUAUUUCUUGGACCUUGUAUUUUGUGAAAUGAUUCAAAUAAACCUAUAAACUCAAUUUUGAUUAAAGUUUUUUGAACUAAAAUUACAAAUAAUUCACCAAACUAACAAUUCAGAACAAAAACACAACUAUUGUAAAUACCCCAAAUAUUAUAAAUAAAUAAGUAAAGGACUUAAAUGUAAUUUCUUUUAAAUUAAAUGAGGGACCUUUUAGAAAAGAAAGCUAUCUAGAACAUUUAGGCUUUCUCUCCCUUCUCUUGCACGAUACCCACCUCCAUCUAUCUCUUUCCUCCUUUUUUUUCUUCUUCAAACCUCGCGGCAGCCACCACUCAUCUCCACAAUCGGCACCGACAACUCACCCACACUCCACCAAUCCUCUCAUCAUCAACAAGUGAGCCCAUCCUCGGAGUUCCGUUGUUCUACACACCAUUUAUGCCACCAAAUCAAGCUUCAAAAGCUUUGUUUUUGCUCAAUUAUUCUGGCCAUAUUCCGACGCCAUUCAAGACCCCACUAGGCCAAGCACGGUACGAACGUAAUCCUUGUCACGAGAUCUAUCUUUUCCACUCAAGGGAUGCUGUAAAACUCAUCAAAAUAGUGGGUGGAGACCCGUUGGAAAACACCUCGGAAACCAUGGAUUUAGAGUUAUUCUUCGACCAAAACUAGUGGUCUUUAGCUCCGGCCAACCUCACCAUCGAGUAGAUCGACCCAAGGGGCUUCACAUUGGUGGCUUUGAUUCUCAUCAUCACCGUGAUUCGCUGGAAACUGCCACCACCACCGCCGUUCGUACACCCAAACGGUGUUAGAAUUCAUUCGGGGAAGAGAAAUCACGGCUACCUUUAAGAGCUUCACAAAUGUAUUUGAAAUAUUAGGAUUCCAUAUAUACAAGUUAGGAGUUCUUGAAAACUUAAUUGUUAGUAGUUUUAAGAGUUUUAAAAUUUCACGAAACCAUAUCUUAUCUAUCUAUAUAAUUAUUGGAUGUCGUACUUUAUAUUUAA